Molecule: ribosomal RNA, 253 nt
Filed under: uncultured bacterium
Lineage: Bacteria
Description: partial 16S ribosomal RNA
Rfam family: Bacterial small subunit ribosomal RNA
Source: RNAcentral
UACAGAGGUCUCAAGCGUUGUUCGGAUUCAUUGGGCGUAAAGGGCUCGUAGGCGGUUUGUCGCGUCGGGAGUGAAAACCUAUGGCUUAACUGUGGGCUUGCUUUCGAUACGGGCAGACUAGAGGUAUGCAGGGGAGAACGGAAUUCCUGGUGUAGCGGUGAAAUGCGCAGAUAUCAGGAGGAACACCGGUGGCGAAGGCGGUUCUCUGGGCAUGACCUGACGCUGAGGAGCGAAAGUGUGGGGAGCGAACAGG